Amphiprion ocellaris (clown anemonefish) is the source of this 1148-nucleotide long non-coding RNA. RefSeq lists it as uncharacterized. The record is from RefSeq and is a predicted model, not a curated record. The transcript is spliced from 3 exons. Lineage: Eukaryota; Metazoa; Chordata; Actinopteri; Pomacentridae.
AGGGUUCGGGUUACAGAGGAAGGUCCUGACAGUAGCAAUGUACCAAAAACAUGGAUAUAAAAUUAUACAUUUUUUCAUAAUUUAAUAUUAAGUCACACUAGCCAAAAAAUUCUUAGAAUAAAGUUGGGGUUUUUCCUUCAGCCGUUGUGGUUGCACUGUACCUUUAGGUUAUCUAGAUCUACAACGGCUGAAGGAAAAACCACGGAUUAAUUUCUCAGAAUAUUCGGCUGCUUAGUAUUAACAUUAAAAAUAUUUAUGUGUAAUAUUAAUUACCCUAUUUUUUUCAUUACAACUGUAAGGACCUUCCUCUCCAACCCUAACCCUACCCCUAGACUUUCUAUUGGAUUAAUACACGUUUUCAAGACCAGAACAUGUGUGCUCAUGUAGCUCUACGGGUUACGCCUGUGAUGUUCAGGACUCAUUCUUGUAUUUUACACUCUCUGAUGUUUUCUUUUCUUCAUGUCUAGUGUGUGAAUCAUUUCUGGUUUGUCUCUUCAGUGUCUCAUGUGGCCCUGCAGCUUCUCCUCCUCCACCUCCUCCUGAAGCCUUCAUCUUCUUCAUCAUCAGCUGCUCAGUGACUCUGUUGGACGUCUCACCGUGUGGCAGCAGCUCAGGAGUUUGCAGUCAACCAAGGCCGACUCAGAAUCACUCCCACCGGGAAGAUCUGUGAAGGAAGGUCCACCCAGCUGGUCCAGAAGCUCCGGUCCAGCAGAGCAGCGUCAGGAUGGAGACGUAACCGGUGUUGAUGUCACCGCCUUGACGAAUAGAAGAAAAGGGCAAAAUUUGCCAAAAAUCUUCGUGCCAGGGCGCCCGUGUGGCUCGGCGCGUUGGGCGGGCGACCCAUGUGCGGGGGCUGGUCCCCGGCGCGGCUGGCCCGGGUUCGAUUCCCGCUUGCGGCCCUUUGCUGCGUGUCUUCCCCUGACUCUUCUCCUGUUUCCUGUCUCUCUCACACUGCACCUAUCCAAUAAAGAGCCGAUAAAAGGGCCAAAAAAAAAUAACUUUAAAAAAAAAAUUCGUGCCUUCGUGCCUUCGUGCCUUCGUGCCUUCGUGCCUUCGUGCCUUCGUGCCUUCGUGCCUUCGUGCCUUCGUGCCUUCGUGCCUUCGUGCCUUCGUGCCUUCGUGCCUUCGUGCCUUCGUGCCUUCGUGCC